This 4466-nucleotide long non-coding RNA is filed under the name Salvia miltiorrhiza (redroot sage). RNAcentral's name for it is "long non-coding RNA (SMIL_LNC005828)". The record is from RNAcentral. Lineage: Eukaryota; Viridiplantae; Streptophyta; Magnoliopsida; Lamiales; Lamiaceae.
ACGUGGCAGCGGUUGAGGACCGAAGAGACACGAUGGUUCGGACCACAUGUUUGCCCAAACGGACGUGGCAGCGGUUGAGGACCGAAGAGACACGAUGGUUCGGAUCUGUUUGCCCAAACAGGGCACGUGGUGGCGGUUCAAGACCGAAGAGACACGUCGGUUCGGACCUCCUGUUUGGCCAAACGGUCACGUCAGUUCAAGGAAACCCCUGGACUACUAUAAAUAGGGCCCUCCAGAAUGAGAUUAAACACAAAAACGAAUUCAGAUAAUCAAUUUGUCAUAUUAGUUUAGUUUACAUACUCAGUCCCGAGUAUCAAGCCGUUCGACCGGAUAGCGAACUCCUAGUGCUAAGGACUCGUCUAUCAUCCCGAAACCGUUGUAUCUUGGGGGCAAUUACUGUAGAUCCGCGAGCACAAGAGCGGAAGUAAUUUUGCCUUACGGAGAGAGAUUUUAUCUCGCCUCGGUUCUGCAUUAAUUCUUUUAUCGUCAUCCUAUUUUCUACACUACCCAAAUUCAAAAUCAAUGAAUGUGAUAAAUGUGUAUACAUUAAAGGAACAUCCGACAAUUUUGUCAUUGUUUGUCUCUACGUUGAUGAUAUGCUAAUUAUGGGCAGCAACAAUAAACAUGCUCCAGCACCUGCUGCUGCCGAAAAGCCGGAAAAAUUCGCAGGUUCUGAAUUUAAACGUUGGCAGUCUAAGAUGCUGUUUUAUCUUACUACUUUGAAUAUGGCUCGUUUUGUGAAUGAAUCUCCUCCAACUGUGGGGGAAGACGAGACUGAUUCGCAACUGCGGAUAGCAUAUGAUGCAUGGCAUCAUAGCGACUUUCUGUGUCGCAACUAUAUUCUGAAUGGGCUAGACAACACUCUCUAUAAUGUUUACUCUAGCGCCAAGACGUCCAAGGAACUAUGGGACUCCUUGGAGACGAAGUACAAGGCAGAAGAUGCCGGCUUGAAGAAGUUCAUAGUCGGUCGUUUUCUAGACUUCAAAAUGGUUGAUAGCAAAACCGUUGUGGAGCAAGUGCAAGAAUUUCAACUGAUCCUGCACGACAUUCUUGCCGAAGGUAUGGAAUUGUCUGAAUCUUUUCAGGUGGCCGCGGUGAUAGAGAAAUUACCACCACAUUGGAAGGACUUCAAGAACUAUCUCAAGCACAAACGCAAGGAGAUGGGACUUGAAGACUUGAUCGUUCGCUUGAGAAUCGAAGAGGACAAUAGAAUCUCCGAAAACAAGACGAACAAAACUUCCAUGGAGGCAAAAGCAAAUCUAGCCGAGUCUAGCAACAAGAAGAAACGCAAGUUCAAAGGCAAACAUCCAGACUCAAAAGGUCAGAAGAGGAUCAAAGGAGAUUGCUUCAACUGCGGCAAACCCGGUCACAUGGCAAAAGAUUGUCGCAAACCGAAGAAAGACAAGCACAAUGGUCACCAUCAAGCCCACGUGACGGAGACAAAGUCUGUGCCCCUCGACUUAGGCGAACUUGACUUGUGUGCCGUCGUAGACGAGGUCAAUAUGGUCGGCAGUCCAAAAGGAUGGUGGAUCGACACCGGUGCUACCCGGCAUAUCUGCGCCGACAAGACAAUGUUCUCCUCGUAUGAAGCUCUCUCCGGCGAUAGAAAACUGUAUAUGGGCAAUUCUACCGCAUCCUCUAUCAUCGGAAUUGGAACCAUUGUGCUCAAGAUGACGUCGGAACUCAAGAUAACCCUACAGAAGGUGCUGCAUGUUCCCGACAUUCGCAAGAACUUGAUCUCAGGAUCCGCUUUGUGCAACGCCGGAUUUAGACUAGUGUUUGAAGCAGGCAAAGUUGUAAUGACCAAGAAUGGUCACUAUAUAGGAAAAGGCUACCUAGAUAAUGGCCUUUUCAAGCUUAAUGUUAUUCCUGUACUUGUACGUGAUAAUGCAAUAAAGGAAAAAGUUACUUACUUGGUUGAGUCUCCUAAUUUAUGGCAUGAUAGAUUAGGACAUGCAAAUCUAAACACACUAAGUCGUUUAGUAAAUUUAGACUUAUUGCCAAAGAUGUCUUUCAAUCAACACCAAAAAUGUGAAAUUUGUGUUGAAGCAAAAAUGGCAAAAUCUCCUUUUCAUUCAGUGGAAAGAUCAACGAAACCUCUUGAAUUGAUUCACACCGAUCUAUGUGAUUUAAAACUUGUGCAAACAAGAGGUGGAAAGAAUUACUUUAUAACAUUUAUAGAUGAUUUCACAAGAUUUUGCUAUGUGUAUCUUUUGAGAAGUCAAAGACGAAGCAUUACGAAGUCUUUACAAAACUAAAAAAUGAAGUUGAGAAUCAACUUAACACCAAAAUCAAAAUGAUUCGAAGUGAUCGAGGUGGCGAGUACGUUGCACCUUUUGAGGAAUUUUGUCGUGAAAAUGGCAUUAUUCAUCAAACGACUGCACCUUAUUCUCCACAAUCAAAUGGUGUUGCAGAACGAAAGAAUAGAACAUUGAAAGAAAUGAUGAAUGCUAUGUUGAUAAGCUCAGGCCUAUCACAUAACAUGUGGGGGGAAGCUAUUCUUUCGGCUAAUAAAAUUUUGAAUAAAUUACCCCAAAAGAAACAAGAAAAAACCCCAUAUGAAUUAUGGAAAGGAAGGAAGCCGUCCUAUAAAUAUACAAAAGUGUGGGGGUGCUUAGCAAAAAGUUGAAGUACCUAAACCCAAACAAAUAAAAAAUAGGACCAAAAACUAUUGAUUGCAUCUUCAUUGGAUAUGCAAACAAUAGUAGUGCGUACCGAUUCUUGGUACACAAAUCGGAAGUACCCGAUAUGAAUGAGGGAAUGAUUAUAGAAUCAAGAAAUGCCAUAUUUUUUGAAAAAAUAUUCCCCAAGAAUCGAGGAGAACCCGUAUCACAAUCAGAAUAUGCUAGAGUUAUUGGAAGCCUAAUGUACUUGUCAAAUUGUACAAGGCCAGAUAUAGCAUAUUCGAUUAGUAAAUUAAGUCGGUUUACAAGUAAUCCCGGGAAGGAUCAUUGGACCGCAUUGACAAGAGUGUUGAGAUACUUAAAGCACACAAUCUCUCAUAGUAUACACUAUUCGAGAUAUCCCGCAGUUUUGGAAGGAUAUUGUGAUGCCAAUUGGAUAUCCGACACUAAAGACUCUAAAUCCACAAGUGGGUUCGUAUUUACCAUUGAUGGAGGAGCAAUAUCUUGGAAAUCUUCUAAGCAAACAUGUAUAGCCCGAUCUACAAUGGAAUCGGAAUUUAUUGCUUUAGACAAAGCCGGUGAAGAAGUCGAAUGGUUAAGAAACUUCUUAGAAGAUAUUCCAUGUUGGGAAAAACCUUUGCCUCCUGUUAUGAUACAUUGCGAUAGCAUGGCUGCCAUAUGGAGAGCAAAGAAUAGUUUGUAUAACGGUAAAUCUCGACACAUUCGUCGAAGACAUAAUACCGUUAGACAAUUGAUCACUACAGGAAUAAUGUGCAUUGACUAUGUAAAGUCAAAAGACAAUAUUGCGGAUCCGUUUACUAAAGGUAUUAAUCGUGAUCAAUUGUAUAACGCAGUAAGGGGAAUGGGAUUAAAAUCCACACGUUAAGAACUUUCAUAGUGGUAACUCAACUAUGAUGACUGGAGAUCCCAAGAACAUGGUUCAAUGAGACAACUAAAUUAUGGAAAUUCAAGUUGAGCACUUGAAACUUUCAAAAUCCAUUCUCAUAGCUAGCUCAAGUGCAAAAGCCUAGCAGCUUAGUGGUAAAGGGUAAGCCAUCAAAAGCUUUUAAUGAUUCCUAUAGCCUUAUUAGGUGGAGUAUGACAGGAUACUCUUUAUAGGAGAUCACCUAUACAAGUGAAGAAGUGGGGUCGCUUCAAAUUAUCAAUAAACACUUGUGAAUCCAAGAAAUGGUCCAAGGCCGAAAUGGACACAACGUGAGAACGAAAGAUAUUAGAUCUAUUAUUGUAUGUAUGUUGUUGACUAGGUUUACACAAAAGUAGUUGACCGGUUCAAGACAUCAUGUUCACCGAGCAACGAGUAAAUCCGAUGGUAUUACACUAAGGAAGGUUCAAAGCUAACAACUACCUAUCCUAAUGCAAUAAUGGAUCGUCGGGACUUAGUUUUUGCAUUUGAAUUAAUCAUCAUUCAUGUGGGGAUUGUUGGAAUAAAUGGCUUAAUUAGUCCAUAAUUACUUUGUCAUUAAUGGCAUUCAAUGGUAUAUUUGAAUGUACAUGAGUAGAUUAAUUUGGAAUUUAUGUUCGAUCAUUAUGUUUUGAAUGUUUACUUAUUUAAAUCUAUCCAUGGUUGGAUGAGUUGUUUGCCCAAAAUGUGGCAGCGGUUGAGGACCGAAGAGACACGAUGGUUCGGACCACAUGUUUGCCCAAACGGACGUGGCAGCGGUUGAGGACCGAAGAGACACGAUGGUUCGGAUCUGUUUGCCCAAACAGGGCACGUGGUGGCGGUUCAAGACCGAAGAGACACGUCGGUUCGGACCUCCUGUUUGGCCAAACGGUCACGUCAGUUCAAGGAAACCCCUGGACUACUAUAAAUAGGGCCCUCCA